Chinchilla lanigera (long-tailed chinchilla) is the source of this 646-nucleotide long non-coding RNA. RefSeq lists it as uncharacterized. The transcript is spliced from 3 exons. NCBI's taxonomy places the organism in Eukaryota, Metazoa, Chordata, Mammalia, Rodentia, Chinchillidae. The record is from RefSeq and is a predicted model, not a curated record.
UCCUUUCUUCUCUUUUCCUUUCUUUUCUUGUCUGUUCUCUUCUUUUCUUUUCUUUUUUCUUUCUUUUUUUGUAGAACUGCAGUACUUGAAAGAAGACCUGGAUUAGUGCUGUGAUUUUCUGGGUACUAAUGAGAUGACUUUCUAUUUACUUUCUGAUUGCUGAAUUUCUCAUUUGUAUAAAUAGGAAUAAUAUUCUCUAAUUCUUAAGAUUAUUUGGACAAUUAAAUGAGGUACUGUAAAAGCACUAAAGCUUUUUAAAAGAAUAGCUCAUUGUUAUUAUGAAUCUAUGACUAAUAGGAAGAAAAAAGCAGAUGUGAUCAACAUAGACACACCCCAGGAGUCACAGCAAGGCUAAAACAGAGAUACUGCAGAUUUUCCAACAACCCAACCUGAUUCUCCUCACGGCAAAAGGAGAAAUCAAUCAAAGGUGAUUUAAAAAGUCCCAAAGAUCCAGUAACUCGGACUUAAAGCCAAGUGUAUAAGAACUGAGUAUGUGGAAGGUUGUUUCCGAAGCUAUGUUUCCUCCAUUAUCUCUGGAAAACAAAAUUGUUCCACAUUGCAGUACAUGAUGGAGUAUAUUCUGCUUGAUGACCUCCCAACUGAAUACUACAAGAAGUUGUUGUGUAAUGUAACAAGAUACAACCAG